CCCUUAGAUGUUCUGGGCCGCACGCGCGCUACACUGAUGCAUUCAACAAGCCUAGCCUUGACCGAGAGGUCCGGGUAAUCUUUGAAACUGCAUCGUGAUGGGGCUAGAUUAUUGCAAUUAUUAAUCUUCAACGAGGAAUGCCUAGUAAGCGUGAUUCAUCAAAUCGCGUUGAUUACGUCCCUGCCCUUUGUACACACCGCCCGUCGCUCCUACCGAUUGAAUGUGUUGGUGAGGAGCUCGGAUUGGCAACAGUUGGUGGUUCGCCACCGGCUAUUGCUGAGAAGUCCUCCAAACCGCCCCAUUUAGAGGAAGGAGAAGUCGUAACA
Molecule: ribosomal RNA, 326 nt
Filed under: uncultured eukaryote
Lineage: Eukaryota
Description: partial 18S ribosomal RNA
Rfam family: Eukaryotic small subunit ribosomal RNA
Source: RNAcentral